GCCAAGGUUCAGUUCGGUUGAAGAGGAAUUAAAUGAUGCUGAAAAUAUGGAAACCGACAUGGAAGCCAUCGAAUCAGUACAUUCAAGAAAUGAGUUAAGGAGGUCUGUUCGGACAAAAGAGAAACCCAAAAUCUUGACUUACCCCAAAUUGGGAAACCCUUUGAUAACCAUAGUUCAGUCCCUUCUUCAAGGCCUAAAUGAAGCCUUUUCAGAGUCCUUGCAAGAGUGUCCCCGUACGAGCUGUUCUGCAGCACAGGAUUAUACUGGCAAUAUGCAAAGGGACUUGCAUGGUUCUAUGGGGGGAGGGUGUAACCCAGGCUCAAAAACCUUUGUAGUCUAAAUUAGAUUUAAACACAGUCAUCUGAAUAGCUAGAUACUGUUAGAGGAAGAAAUAUGGAACAAAUACUAAAUGUAUAUAUAUGUAUAUAUAAAUAUUUUCCAUUUGAAAUGGGUUACUUGUUAGGUAAACUAAAUAGUUGAAAUGUAACUUUAAUUUUGAUUGAGCUCUAGAUCUGUGCAGGUGAGCAGCCAAUCGAGCGUAAUUAGGUCAAGUUGACUCCGCCCACCGAGAGAUGCGGCAUUAGAGAGAGAGAAAAAAACUUGAGAAACAACGUGAAUUAGAAGCUGCGUAAGAUCUUGAUUUAUUUCAUUUUGAGAGAGAACGCAUGUGAAAACCAAACAUUUGGAGUAGGCCAUCAUUGCGUCAUCCGAGAGAAACCUGGAAAAAAACAGAGAAAUAUCAUUAAUACACGAGGGAAUCGGCCAGUUUUGUUAUUUUAGAAAUCUAGAAUCUGGAUUUUUUCAAUUCAUGAAGAUGGCGAGCCAACCGUAAAUCGAUCAGAAACAACUAUCCUUUGUCUUUUUGGACAUCUGUAUCACUUCACUUUCGGCAGGACAUCGCGUCGGAUUUUUUUCUUUUGAGGUUUGAAACAUCUGACAUUUUCAUUUUUCCUUUUGAGCAUUGGAUCACUGAUUUAAAGGAACUGAGGAGACAAUAUCAUUCUUUAUUGUUCAGACUGACAUUUUGUUUGAACUGUGCAUUCAAGAAUUACUGAUACUGCAUUGAUACGCAUUCAUUUAGACUUUGUUUCGUAUAAACAAGUGUUUACAGUGGACAUUUGUACGUGUGACUAAACACAAGUCCUGACAUUCGUGUUUAUUUUAUAUCUACUGAUCUUGAGUAUACAUUUGAGUUGUGUACAUAAAAAAGGAGAUCAGAAAUUGAAUGUUUAUUACAAUUUAAUUUGCA
Long non-coding RNA from Carassius auratus (goldfish), 1249 nucleotides. RefSeq lists it as uncharacterized. NCBI's taxonomy places the organism in Eukaryota, Metazoa, Chordata, Actinopteri, Cypriniformes, Cyprinidae. The transcript is spliced from 3 exons. The record is from RefSeq and is a predicted model, not a curated record.